This 690-nucleotide ribosomal RNA is filed under the name Triticum aestivum (bread wheat). Its description in RNAcentral is "partial small subunit ribosomal RNA". Lineage: Eukaryota; Viridiplantae; Streptophyta; Magnoliopsida; Poales; Poaceae. The record is from RNAcentral.
AUGCUGAUGCAGGAAGACAUGGCGGAUGUAAGUCAUGAUUCAAUGAUGGAGUACUAUCAUAUUGCCAACAAGAUGUUUAAUAGUGAGGGUGAAGGUUAUAGAUUCUAUAACAAAUAUGGUCUUGAGAAAGGUUUUAGUGUCAGGAGAAGCUAUGUCGAGUGGGAUGGAUCCAACUGCCAUAUAAUUUUUAGGAAAUUUGUGUGUAGUCGUGAAGGGGUUCGUGAAGAGAAGCACAUGAAGAGGAAGAUGGAAGAUAGAAAGAGGAGGCCAUGGAGUAUAACUCGUGUAGGGUGUAAAGCUAAAUUGGUGAUUGCAAGACAGGAGGAAACAUGUCAGUGGUUUGUGAAGGAUUUCAUCGAUGAACACAACCAUCCUCUAGCCCCAUGCGAUCUUUCGUGUCUUUGGCGUUCACACAGAAGAAUUAGCGAUGAGGAGAAAGCGGACAUUGCAGACAUGGAAAAAUCUGGGAUCAGAAAACACCAUAUUAUGGAUAUUAUGUGCAUGCAAUACGGUGGAUAUGAUGAGGUUGGAUGCAUUAUGAGGGACGUUUACAAUUUUUGCCAUGCUAACAAGCAGGAAUCAAUUGCUUCCAGGGAUGCUCAAACAGUGAUCAAUCACAUGGCGGCGAGGCAAGAUCGAGAUUCAGAUUUUUUUUCUUUAGGUACUUGGUUGAUGAAGCUGGUCAUCUGA